CAAAUACUCCUUCUGUACGGAAAUUCUUGUCUUAGUUGUCUAUAUAUGGAUGUAUAUAUUCACAUUUUAGUGUUAGAUACAUCCGUAUCUAGAUAAAUCUAAGACAAGAAUUUUGAGACAGAGGGAGUAUAAG
Molecule: non-coding RNA, 133 nt
Organism: Triticum urartu
Lineage: Eukaryota; Viridiplantae; Streptophyta; Magnoliopsida; Poales; Poaceae
Source: Rfam